This is a long non-coding RNA of Mercenaria mercenaria, 3151 nucleotides long. RefSeq lists it as uncharacterized. The record is from RefSeq and is a predicted model, not a curated record. The transcript has 2 exons. Lineage: Eukaryota; Metazoa; Mollusca; Bivalvia; Venerida; Veneridae.
ACUGAUAUUAUUGAUGUAAUUUUCAUCUAAAAUGACUGAUAUCCUAUGAGCAAUAUUUACAUUCACCUCAAAAUUCAUUCCUUGUAUACAGGCAUAGUAUUUGCCGUUCCAUUAGGUAUAAACCAAUGUAUAAACCGGUUUUCAGAUUUCUGCCCGCUUAAUAAAUUUUCAUUUACUCGAACUGCUGGUACCGUCGGCAUCUACUCAACUUUAUAUGUAACCACAAAAAGCGAAGUAGUAAUAAAUUAGAAACAGCAUAGUAACAACUGAAAAUCCCCUUUAUUUACCCUGUCCAUGUUCGACACGACUGAUUAUCAGUUUUUGUCUUUGCGACCAGUGCAGAUCAUGAUCAGCCUGCACAUCUGUACAGUCUGAUCAUUAUCUGCACUGUUCGUCAUUCAGUCAGUAUCUUUUUGGUAAGCACUCCUUCUAAUAGUUAAUGGUACUGUCUAAAUUGAAAGAUGGACAGGUUCAUUAUAGAAAUUUAGCAUGGUAUGGGUAAAUAUGCAUCCGUUCUUUUGCCAAUACUUUAUCAAACGUGCAUUUAUGUCGCAUUCUAACCAGUUGUCGUGCAAAUGCCGUUCACAUACUGACUUCCAACGCCCAUUCUAAUACAAGAAAAUUACUGUAGUUAAACCCACUGUUCCUCCGAUGGCCUCGCUGAAGACCCAUUGCUACAAAUGUUAUGUAUACACUAGCAUUUUUAAGAGAUUUUUUCAAAAUUUUGAAAAAAAAAAUCACAGGUUUAUGAUUUCAACACACUUUAGAUAGCUUUAUUUAAGGGUGAUAAAGAAAGUUUAGUGAAAAUAUGGGAUGCAGCAUUUGAGGUCGUUGGGAGGUAAAGGUAUGGUAAAAUAAAUCAAACUCGGUCUCGGAAAGAACGUGAAUAAUUUAGUAACGAAUCAUCAAGGUUUUCGUUGACAAAUAUUCAUAUUUACCUUACAAACGAAAUUCCAUAUAACUCAGAUAUCUACAAACUAUCGUUCAAUUUUGCGUCACUGUCGUCCGACGGGUUUUCCAGAAAUUCUGGCUUCCCAUAGCAAUAUAUUGACUCACAUGUGACGAUUUGUCAAAGCAGCUAUCGUAACCCAACAAACAAGGCUGUGAAUUACAGUGUAACAAAAAAAAAAAAAAAAGGAAUGGAGACUAAUACUAGCCGAACAGAGGUAUUUUUACUGUAUUCAAUGACAUGUUUUUUGUCUUAGUUCAGCAGCUCAAUUAUCCGCGCAUUCCAUUGAUUACUCCAGUCUGCACGAACAGCGUUCUGGAAUGUUAGACAGAACAGUCAUCUAAUAAAUAAUUUCUAUAUAACAGAAAAUCAAGUCUUACAGGUUUGGGAACCAUAGCAAAAUUCACUAUUUUACUUCAUUCGACUGCAAUAACAGAUUUAGAAAAAUGUACUAGGACGUAAACGGAACAUACGGCUGGGUUCUAUCACGAUACGCCCAAUUCUUGCGUUGGAAUUGGGAAUUACAGCUGCUUAGAAGUAGAUCUAAUUCGUACAUACUCUCUCUUCGAUAUUUUUUUUCAGAAGCUCACGAGCUGGGUUUACCAUCUGGAAGGUAAGUGUGGUGUUACAAUAUAUCUGGUUUAUUUUACAUGAAUUCCAAGUAUAUAUUAUACUAGUAUACCGAUUAAACUAGGUGUCUCGAAUUCAAAGGGUCCGAGCAUUUUACUUUUUUUUCUUAGAACGACACAUUCGCUGUUGCUGUAGCCUCGUGUGCGUGCACGUGUAAAUUUGACAAAAACUUUAUAUUUACAUUGUGAAGAGUACUAAGCAAUUUGAAAAUGUCUUUUGGUAGUUUUUAUUUUUAUGUCUUUGUCUGCCUCAACUUUGACGACACUACCAGACAGUUUUACACCAAACUUUACAAGACUGAACACUGCCAAACCCACUUGUGCAUAUCGUCGGCAUUUUCCGAUUUGAUUUUCUGCUGAGUUAUGGCCGUUGAUUCAUCAAAUUUUAUGAUGUUCUGGCUACUUCUCUUACAGUACUGGGCAGAUUUCCACAAAACCUUACAGGAAUGAUCAGUGUCGAGCCUCUGUGCAUACUCGAGGCAUUUUCCAGUCCAGUGAUGAUUUUAAGUAGACUUUUUUAUAUUCUACCUUGUCCCAGCAUGUGACGAUUUGUCAAAGCAGCUAUCGAAACCCAGCAAACAAGGCUGUGAAUUAUUGUGUAACAAAAAAGAAAUGGAGACUAAAACUAGCCGAACAGAGACAAAGACUUACCAGAAAAUGAUUGGAUUAUACCACUGCUUGCUACAGCCUUUGGAAUUGCAGUAAUUGGCGGAAUCAUAAAGUGCAUUCAUUUCUGCAUACGUGGAAACCAAAAGCCAACUAAAAAACCACAGCCUGUUUCUGUUUGAGUAAUAAAUUGGAUUAAUUCCACCACAAACGUGUUAUAGCUAAGCCUGGUAACCUUUUUUAAGUUUGUGCUAGUGGUGGCUUGACUUUCUACGGGACCAAAAUGCUUCGGAGAAGUACAUGCUAUGGCGAUGACUUUAUGUUCUGUACAAAAAUAUGUUGGCAAAAAUGCUGUUUUACCUAUAUUCAAGAGAAAUGCAGCAAUAUUUUUCCUUCUAUAUAAAGUACCGGUAAAAGGACCUUUUCCCAAUUUAAAAAAAUGAUUUUUUCCCCAAUUUCCAUCAAAUUAUUCUCAAAAAGACAAAGGAAAAUGAUCAAAUUAUUCAUUGGUUUGGCAAUUUAUUGACUUGUACGCAAAAUAGAUCAUAACUUUGCCAAUAUUUAGUUUAAUGAUUGCUUGCAAUUUUAUAAGUACAAGCCUAUCUGGGGCAUUUAUUACUGUAACUGAUGACUAGAAAAACAGAAUGAAACCAACGAUUCCUGAAUUGAGAAAAAAUGCAGCGAUUUUUCCCAGUUCAGUCGGUACCGGACCUUUUUUGACAAAAAAAAAAAGGAAAUGCUGGAAUGUGUAAUGCUGCUAAUUUUUAUUGGAAUAUCAUAAAAUUCUUUAUUCUAAAAGGUUUCAUAUUGCAAUCCAGCGCAUAGUUUUUUAUAGCAAUAUGUUCAUUUUCAGUAUACUAUUUCAUAACGUUGCAGUUAUUUUCUAUUUGGAAAGUAAAACCUGUUAUUUUAGUGUUUGUGAUGUAAGUUAUAUCUCUCUAAUUUAUUGUAUGGUAAAAUAAAAUCA